UAUCUACCAAAAGCUCACAUAUAAGAAAAUGCAACAAGGUUCAGAGGAGAAACAAUUGGAUUGUGAGAAUCUUGAUCUGAUCAGGAACAGAGCCAGCCUUCUAUGGACUAAACCCUCUGAAACCCUGAGCCCUUAAAUAAACUUUUCCUCCUCUAUAAUUGUUCUGGUUGGGUCUUUUAGUCACUGCGGUGAAACAGGUGACUAAAACAAGUGGGAAGAGAGCAAAGGUAGGAGAGCUGCAGGGAGACGCACUUCUUUAAACGUGAGCAGAUGAAUGCUGCAGUUUCAAGGUUGUCCCUGUGGAAUUGAACCAAAUGCUUCUCCCUGCAGAGGCUGCAUAUUUAGUUGCCAGUACAUGGGGGGAGGGAGACAUAGCUACACCUUACAUAUGUUUCAGUUAAGUUAAAAGAUUGAUGUGUAUUUAUUUUGAGGCGAUUGUUGAAAUACCUUCCUUGUGUGUAAUGGAAUUUUCUCCUUUUGGCAAUGCCAAAGGCAGUUCACUGGGUUACAUAUGUUGUCAGUGAAAUUUCCCACAUGCUUCUAUGAAACAUUUGUCUUUUCCAGAUGGCCUGUGUAAGCCCAGUUGUUCCUUCAAACAAAUUUACAGUUAUGACAAAUGUGUUCUCUCUCUCUAGACUAGAUCAGAGUUCUUUUUUUGGAAAAAGAAAUGGUUUCCAACUAAUCUAAAGGGGACAGAUUUUUCAAUGGAAAGUGGAUACUAAACUCUGUUCUCAGGUUGAAAUUUGCUGAGAUUUGGGUGUAGAGGAAUCAAUAGGUUAAUAUGUUUUAUCCCCAUCUCUACACAUAAUAUAUGCGUGGUUUCAUGUUUUCUUCCAUUAAAAAAAAAUCCCAAACACAAAAGUUAC
This 866-nucleotide long non-coding RNA is filed under the name Marmota monax (woodchuck). Lineage: Eukaryota; Metazoa; Chordata; Mammalia; Rodentia; Sciuridae. The record is from RNAcentral.